CAACCAGCUACAUUAACCCAGAGGAUAACUCCAUUUCAAAAGGAAGAAUGGAGACAAAAUUGAAUGUGCACUGUUCCAAAGUUAAUGGUUGCACAAUGGGAAAAUUUGUAAAGAGGAGAUGUACUACACAGGAAAACCUACUUGGUCUGAAAAGAGUUGGCUGUGGACAGUGCUGGCAGCUCCUGGAACGAGCUGGGUUGCAGUGGUACACACAGGUGGAUAAUCUCGAGUGAAGAUGUUGCAAAGAAAGCAUUCCUGGUUCUCAAGUGUGAGGCGAGGCAGGCAACAAAAGGUGAAUGAUCUGUGAAUCUCUGGGUGUUCCUCAAAGUUCAAUUCACAGUCAUCUCCCCCAAGGAAAAUAAGGAACUAAAGGUGGUCCAGGAUGCUGAUUACAUGCAAACUUUAAUGCAUAUUACUGAACUCCACUAUUGUGAAGUCUGGUGAAGUCAAGGGAAGAGAACAGUUAUGUAUGUUACUUACACAGAAGAUUCUUCAAAUAAAGUCUUCACCAACAUUGCUAGAAAUACCCACAACUUCAAUCUGAUCACAUUUAGGCUGAUUGUGAGCCAACUCUAUAUCCACUGAGGAAGUUAACUGAGGUACGCUGUAAUUAGGUCUCUGCAGCACCUUCCUCGUACAUAAAUAGGAAAGUGGAUUCCUUGUUGUUUUUCUGUGGUCAACAAUGCAACCGAGGAACACAUCUGAGUGACAGGUUAACUGUCUGGACAGCUGCGAGUCAAGCCUUCAAGACACGCUGCUUUAUCUGAUUGGUCUCAGUCUUGAUCUGGCACAUGAAAGGAAAUGUGAGGAAGUUUCCAGCAGAGAUCAUUUUGCAAGUCCAAAGAUGAGGGUCAUUGUUUCACCUCUGGAGGAAGAUGGAGGAAAUCCAUGCGUGAGAAAGCUACCCAGGGAUAUUUGACAAAAAAGACAACUGGCUUGAAGUCCCUGAGCCAGAAAUCUCUGGGAAUUGGGAGAAGACACCUGGGGAAGUGUUGAUUACUCUUCUGCUACAGUUUUCUGCAUUUAUCUUUCAUCACACAAGGAGCUGUAGGCUUGAUCUGAAGUCCACAGAAGCAAAAGGAUAAAUCCUUAUCAGCUGUGGCCCAGCCCUUCACACAGCACGUUCCCUGGCCAGCAGAGUCACUUAGGCUGAAAGAGGCAUACUAUUACAAGAUCUUCAAGGGACAAAGACUAAUUAAGGAUAAUCUUGUAGAAAAUGUUACUUUUUCUGGACGUGUUUAACAUGGGAAAUAGUGCUCUCUAUUGCCACCUUGAGUCUCUGACUGCCUUCAACAGAAGAACAAAAAAAAACUGGGGCGUAACACAGAGAGACAAAGGGAAAAUGGAUUUCCAGUCCCAAUGACCAGAGCCCUCUCCAGUCAUCAGCUAUACUUUUUGGAACAUAUAAGAAUGAGUGAGCCACCUCUCGAGCACUACUGUCCAUGUCAGAGGAAGAGAUAGCUGUUGGUUUCUCAACAUUAA
Molecule: long non-coding RNA, 1482 nt
Organism: Myiozetetes cayanensis
Lineage: Eukaryota; Metazoa; Chordata; Aves; Passeriformes; Tyrannidae
Exons: 10
Source: RefSeq, a predicted model, not a curated record